Molecule: ribosomal RNA, 528 nt
Filed under: uncultured bacterium
Lineage: Bacteria
Description: bacterial SSU rRNA
Rfam family: Bacterial small subunit ribosomal RNA
Source: RNAcentral
CUGGCUCAGGACGAACGCUGGCGGCGUGCCUAAUACAUGCAAGUCGAACGGUCUUUUCUAUGGAAGCUUGCUUCCACUGAAAAGAUAGUGGCGAACGGGUGAGUAACACGUGGGUAACCUGCCCAUAAGAGGGGGGAUAACAUCCGGAAACGGGUGCUAAUACCGCAUAGUUUUCUUGAUCGCAUGAUCGGGAAAGGAAAGACGGCCUUUGUGCUGUCGCUUAUGGAUGGACCCGCGGCGUAUUAGUUAGUUGGUGAGGUAACGGCUCACCAAGACGAUGAUACGUAGCCGACCUGAGAGGGUGAUCGGCCACAUUGGGACUGAGACACGGCCCAAACUCCUACGGGAGGCAGCAGUAGGGAAUCUUCCGCAAUGGACGAAAGUCUGACGGAGCAACGCCGCGUGAGUGAAGAAAGGUUUUCGGAUCGUAAAACUCUGUUGUCAGAGAAGAACAAGUUGGAGAGUAACUGCUCCAGCCUUGACGGUAUCUGACCAGAAAGCCACGGCUAACUACGUGCCAGCAGCCGC